AUUGAACGCUGGCGGCAGGCCUAACACAUGCAAGUCGAACGAGUGGCGGACGGGUGAGUAAUGUCUGGGAAACUGCCCGAUGGAGGGGGAUAACUACUGGAAACGGUAGCUAAUACCGCAUACCAUCGGAUGUGCCCAGAUGGGAUUAGCUAGUAGGUGGGGUAAUGGCUCACCGAGGCGACGAUCCCUAGCUGGUCUGAGAGGAUGACCAGCAACACUGGAACUGUGAAACGGUCCAGACUCCUACGGGAGGAAGCAGUGGGAAAUAUUGCACAAUGAGAGCAAGCCUGAUGCAGCCAUGCCGCGUGUAUGAAGAAGGCCUUCGGGUUGUAAAGUACUUUCAGCGAGGAGGCGUUACUCGAAGAAGAAGCACCGGCUAACUCCGUGCCAGCAGCCGCGGUAAUUC
Molecule: ribosomal RNA, 406 nt
Filed under: uncultured bacterium
Lineage: Bacteria
Description: partial 16S ribosomal RNA
Rfam family: Bacterial small subunit ribosomal RNA
Source: RNAcentral